AGCGAACGCUGGCGGCAGGCCUAACACAUGCAAGUCGAACGAACCUUUCGGGGUUAGUGGCGGACGGGUGAGUAACACGUGGGAACGUGCCUUUAGGUUCGGAAUAACUCAGGGAAACUUGUGCUAAUACCGAAUGUGCCCUUCGGGGGAAAGAUUAAUCGCCUUUAGAGCGGCCCGCGUCUGAUUAGCUAGUUGGUUGAGGUAAUGGCUCACCAAGGCGACGAUCAGUAGCUGGUCUGAGAGGAUGAUCAGCCACAUUGGGACUGAGACACGGCCCAAACUCCUACGGGAGGCAGCAGUGGGGAAUCUUGCGCAAUGGGCGAAAGCCUGACGCAGCCAUGCCGCGUGAAUGAUGAAGGUCUUAGGACUGUAAAAUUCUUUCACCGGGGACGAUAAUGACGGUACCCGGAGAAGAAGCCCCGGCUAACUUCGUG
RNAcentral lists this ribosomal RNA (434 nucleotides) under uncultured bacterium. RNAcentral describes it as "partial 16S ribosomal RNA". It matches the Rfam family "Bacterial small subunit ribosomal RNA", at positions 29 to 507 of the family's 1533-position model. The record is from RNAcentral.